ACUCAACACAGCUAGCAGGAAACAUCUUUUCUGUGUUCCAUUGCACUCUUUUGAAUGUGGAACCACAAACUCUGUGAUCUCCAAAUAUAUGUACUGCCAAAGGCUUGCAAUAUGGUUGCCUACUCUGCAUACAAUGUUUGCUUGUUACGUAUUUAUAGGAUAAAUUAAUAUAUCUGCUUUCUGAACACUGUCAUUGCUGCUCAAGUUUCCAUGGAUAUCUGAACAGAUGAAAUUUCAACUCAGGCACAUUCUGUAUUUCACACAGAGUGACAUUUCAUAAACUGUAUACCUUAGAACACUAUUCCAGGAGAUAAAAAUGCUGAAAAAUGAUUAAAAUUUAAACAAGGAUUCCAUGAAUAAGUUAGAAUGCAAUGCUAUUCGUUAUGCCCCUCCUCCUACCAGUGCCUUACAAAAAUAUAUACUACUUUUUUUUUCAUGGAAGGUUCACCAAGUCCCACAUUGAAGGAAACUACUCCAUGUAUCAGUCUCUAAAUUUAUUUGUCUCCAAUAUUCUUAAUAUGUUACCAGUAUAACAAAUAAUCCUGUAUGUCCAACCAAGAAGUGCUCACAAGGCAAUCAGUGCAAAGUCAAGCUACGGCUGUGAGGAAUGCGUCUGACUUAGAAGUGGUAUGUACACGUGUGUAUGUAUAUCUACUUCAAUCUAUAU
Long non-coding RNA from Perognathus longimembris pacificus (Pacific pocket mouse), 667 nucleotides. RefSeq lists it as uncharacterized. The record is from RefSeq and is a predicted model, not a curated record. NCBI's taxonomy places the organism in Eukaryota, Metazoa, Chordata, Mammalia, Rodentia, Heteromyidae. The transcript has 3 exons.